GCCUCCAUAGCUCAGUUGGUAGAGCGGCAGUUUUGUAAACUGUAGGUCGUCGGUUCGAAUCCGGCUGGAGGCU
Molecule: transfer RNA, 73 nt
Filed under: Candidatus Pacearchaeota archaeon
Lineage: Archaea; Nanobdellati
Also listed under: 1 other name
Description: tRNA-Thr
Rfam family: tRNA
About the family: Transfer RNA (tRNA) molecules are approximately 80 nucleotides in length.
Source: RNAcentral